Molecule: ribosomal RNA, 929 nt
Filed under: uncultured Bacteroidota bacterium
Lineage: Bacteria; Pseudomonadati; Bacteroidota
Description: bacterial SSU rRNA
Rfam family: Bacterial small subunit ribosomal RNA
Source: RNAcentral
UAGAGUUGCUCKUGGCUCAGGCAGUCGUAACGUGGUAACCGUUUAGUGUCAUACUGGUCUCGGGGGUCGGAACACAUUCAAAAUCUUCCUUCGCGCGGUGAAUAUACCAUGAAAAUUAGUAUUACUACCCCAUAGCAUGACGGAAUGGCAUCACUUUGUUGUUUUGUUAUAUCAUUUGAUUUGGCUGUGCGGCUGACCGGAAGUUGGCGGGGUAACCCCGCACCGCCCCUGCAAUCAGCUACUGCAGUGAGAGUGCGACCCGCCACCCGGCCACUGUCACACCGGCCCGACUCCCACGGCAGGUGCCUUUAUGGAAUAUUGAUCACUGGACGAAAGUCUGACUGCGCCAUGCCGCGUGGAGGACUUCCGCCCUCUGGAUUGUAAACUUCUUUUGCAUGUCACCUACAAAGGCUUUUCUAAGUCCUCUGACGGUACCAUAUGAAUAUACACCGGCAAACUCCGGACCACCCACCACRGAAAUUCKGAGGGUGCAGGCAUUAUCCGGAUUCAAUGCGUUUAAAGGCCGCGUAGGUGGGUUGUUAAGUCAGUGGWGAACUCCCCAAGCUUAUCUUGAAAACUGACACUGAUACUAUAARUCUCGAAUACCGUGGAGGUCAUCAGAAUAUCUCAUGUAUCCGCUGUAAAGCUUCCCAUCUUGACAUUCAACACCUCUUGCGAGCCGCUUGGCUUACACCAGUAUUGAUUCUGGACGUUCGAGAGCGGUGGGGAUCUUAUCAGAUUACAUACUGUGGKAAUCCCACGACCUAUGCUAKUGGAUACUCUACAUUCUGCGGAUACAGAGCACGAGUCUGAGGWAAAGCAUUACGUAUGCCACGUGUGCUGUACGAUCGCUCUAGUGUACACUCCAAAGGAAUUAGCGACUGUUCGCACAUGCGAUGGAGCCACGUGGUAUCUAUGUACUAUCAUAC